This 253-nucleotide ribosomal RNA is filed under the name uncultured bacterium. RNAcentral's name for it is "partial 16S ribosomal RNA". It matches the Rfam family "Bacterial small subunit ribosomal RNA", at positions 524 to 776 of the family's 1533-position model. The record is from RNAcentral.
UACGUAGGGGGCUAGCGUUGUCCGGAAUCAUUGGGCGUAAAGCGCGUGUAGGCGGUCCGGUAAGUCCGCUGUGAAAGUCGGGGGCUCAACCCUCGGAUGCCGGUGGAUACUGUCGGGCUUGAGUACGGAAGAGGCGAGUGGAAUUCCUGGUGUAGCGGUGAAAUGCGUAGAGAUCCGGAGGAACACCAGAGGCGAAGGCGGCCUACUGGGCUGCACCUGACGCUGAGCCGCGAAAGCCAGGGGAGCGAACGGG